AUUGAACGCUGGCGGAAUGCUUUACACAUGCAAGUCGAACGGCAGCACGGGAGCAAUCCUGGUGGCGAGUGGCGAACGGGUGAGUAAUGUAUCGGAACGUACCUUUCAGUGGGGGAUAACGUAGCGAAAGUUACGCUAAUACCGCAUAUUCUGUGAGCAGGAAAGCAGGGGAUCGCAAGACCUUGCGCUGAUUGAGCGGCCGAUAUCAGAUUAGCUAGUUGGUGAGGUAAAGGCUCACCAAGGCGACGAUCUGUAGCGGGUCUGAGAGGAUGAUCCGCCACACUGGAACUGAGACACGGUCCAGACUCCUACGGGAGGCAGCAGUGGGGAAUUUUGGACAAUGGGCGCAAGCCUGAUCCAGCCAUGCCGCGUGAGUGAAGAAGGCCUUCGGUUGUAAGACUCUUC
This 405-nucleotide ribosomal RNA is filed under the name uncultured bacterium. Its description in RNAcentral is "bacterial SSU rRNA". It matches the Rfam family "Bacterial small subunit ribosomal RNA", at positions 30 to 436 of the family's 1533-position model. The record is from RNAcentral.